Molecule: RNA transcript, 307 nt
Organism: Nilaparvata lugens (brown planthopper)
Lineage: Eukaryota; Metazoa; Arthropoda; Insecta; Hemiptera; Delphacidae
Exons: 3
Source: RefSeq, a predicted model, not a curated record
GAAAUGACAUGCAUCCAUGAAUAUUUUAUAUUGUUUCUCAAAGAAACUGAUUUGUAUGCCGACGGUACCAAUGGGGAUGCAGAACACGAUGUAUGAAGUAGUUGGCGUUCAGGCCGCGGGCAGCGCUUCAGUCGGCGAUUCACCAGGCUGCCGAAGCCGACGCAUUCGGCCAGUCGCGUCUUGUCAGCCAUAGCUUGAAGUUGUGUGAGUCAGUGUUUACUUCCAGUGUUGUUUUCGUAACUGAGCACGUGCAAUUUGUUUCUGGAAAGUAAAGGACCACUGGAAUAACACGAUUGGUCUACCGCCU